This 69-nucleotide transfer RNA is filed under the name Apteronotus rostratus. RNAcentral's name for it is "tRNA-Glu". It matches the Rfam family "tRNA". From Rfam's summary of the family: Transfer RNA (tRNA) molecules are approximately 80 nucleotides in length. Their secondary structure includes four short double-helical elements and three loops (D, anti-codon, and T loops). The record is from RNAcentral. Lineage: Eukaryota; Metazoa; Chordata; Actinopteri; Gymnotiformes; Apteronotidae.
GUUCUCGUAGUUGAAGUACAACGAUGGUUUUUCAAGUCGUUGGUCUUGGUUAGAGUCCAAGUGGGAACC